Molecule: long non-coding RNA, 1111 nt
Organism: Salvia miltiorrhiza (redroot sage)
Lineage: Eukaryota; Viridiplantae; Streptophyta; Magnoliopsida; Lamiales; Lamiaceae
Exons: 5
Source: RefSeq, a predicted model, not a curated record
CAUUUAAAUAAUUAAAUAUUAACGACGGAAUUAUUCCGUAGUUAAAAUUAUAAAUUUUAAUUAUUUAAAUAAUUUAAAAUUAACGACGGAAUUUUUCCGUAGUUAAAAUUGUAAAACACGAAUUAUUUAAAUAAUUUAAAUAUAACUACGGACUUAUUCUGUAGCUAAAUUCCUUACAAAAUAAAAUCUCCCCAUUAUCAUCUCACCGCCGAUCUACCCAAUUAGAAUCAGAAUUCAACUAAAAAAUUAUCUGCCGCAUCCUGACUCCUGCGCUCCGGCGCCUCGCCGCCUGACUCCUGCGCCUCGCCACCUGACUCCGGCGCUCCGCCGCUGCGCCGCCUGACUCCACUGCUCUGCCGUCUGACUCCUGUGAGAUCCACCAAGCUAUUUUACUCUAUUGAGAGGCCCCAGGCGCGAGCUCGUCUUCUUCCAAGCCUCAACUCUGCGAUUUCUCUGCAAUUUCAAUUCGAGUUAGGGUUCCCUAAUUAGAAUGGAUGAACUCGUGAACUACGUGGGAGGACGAAUCCAUUACAAUUACUACAAGGCAAUUAAGGAGAUGGAACGCCAUUUCCGUCGUGUGAUAGCGAAGAAGAUGGUUUAUUUGCUUUCGACAUGCACAGCGAUGGUGAAGGUCAGAGGCACUUAAAAGCCAGCAUGAAGGAGAACGACAGAGAUGAGUUGGGCACCAACGGUUCGCUCCUUGGACUCCUGCUCGAGGCCCCGUCCUCGUACUCGUGCAUCUAGAUGAAUGGUAAAGAGGUCUUCCGCUUUGCUGUCCGUGUCGUUCCACAUUCAAUCGAACUGGCCCUAGAGAAGGCAGGUCUUGGUGAACUUUUUCUUGGAUAUUGCUGGCAAAGUUCAAGAGAGUCAUGUCACCAUUAAAGUACCAAACGAGAGCAGGAGGCCCCCAAUGGAUUUCUAUCAUGCUGGAGCAUCACUAUAGGAUAUUAGUUGGAUUUAUUGUUUAAUCAAUUAUGAAUUUGUAUGAGAUUAGUUGAAUAUUACUUUCAAGUUUGUUUGUUGGAUACAUUAGUGGAUUUAGUAGAUGAUUUUCUAAAAUAUUGGAUUGUUGUUGGAUUUUGAGGAAUAUUGAAUUAUUUGAUAUUUAAAA